RNAcentral lists this ribosomal RNA (253 nucleotides) under uncultured bacterium. RNAcentral describes it as "partial 16S ribosomal RNA". It matches the Rfam family "Bacterial small subunit ribosomal RNA", at positions 524 to 776 of the family's 1533-position model. The record is from RNAcentral.
UACGUAGGGAGCAAGCGUUGUCCGGAAUCAUUGGGCGUAAAGCGCGCGUAGGUGGCCUCAUAAGUCCGCUGUGAAAGUCAAAGGCUCAACCUUUGAAAGCCGGUGGAUACUGUGAGGCUAGAGUCCGGAAGAGGCGAGUGGAAUUCCUGGUGUAGCGGUGAAAUGCGCAGAUAUCAGGAGGAACACCGAUGGCGAAGGCAGCUCGCUGGGACGGUACUGACGCUGAGACGCGAAAGCGUGGGGAGCGAACAGG